AGGAUAAACGCUGGCGGCGUGCAUGAGACAUGCAAGUCGAACGGACGAUCGGGGCUUGCUCUGAUCGUUAGUGGCGGACGGCUGAGUAACGCGUAGGUGACCUGCCCCGAAGUGGGGAAUAACUGCCCGAAAGGGUGGCCAAUACCGCAUGUGGUGGUGUGUUCAUUCACACCAGUAAAGCCGCAAGGCGCUUCGGGAGGGGCCUGCGUCCGAUUAGCUCGUUGGUGGGGUAACGGCUCACCAAGGCGACGAUCGGUAGGUGGUCUGAGAGGACGAUCACCCAGACUGGGACUGAGACACGGCCCAGACUCCUACGGGAGGCAGCAGUCGGGAAUUUUGCGCAAUGGACGAAAGUCUGACGCAGCAACGCCGCGUGAGGGAUGAAGGCCUUCGGGUUGUAAACCUCUUUUAUCAGGGAAGAUAAUGACGGUACCUGAUGAAUAAGUCACGGCUAACUACGUGCCAGCAGCCGC
RNAcentral lists this ribosomal RNA (473 nucleotides) under uncultured bacterium. Its description in RNAcentral is "SSU rRNA". It matches the Rfam family "Bacterial small subunit ribosomal RNA", at positions 26 to 518 of the family's 1533-position model. The record is from RNAcentral.